GGGGAAUAUUGGGCAAUGGACGCAAGUCUGACCCAGCAACGCCGCGUGAAGGAAGAAGGCUUUCGGGUUGUAAACUUCUUUUAAGGGGGAAGAGUAGAAGACGGUACCAGAGGAAUAAGCACCGGCUAACUCCGUGCCAGCAGCCGCGGUAAUACGGAGGGUGCGAGCGUUAUCCGGAUUUACUGGGUUUAAAGGGUGCGUAGGCGGGCUAUUAAGUCAGAGGUGAAAUCUCCGGGCUCAACCUGGAAACUGCCUUUGAUACUAUUAGCCUUGAAUUAUGUUGAGGUUGGCGGAAUAUAACAUGUAGCGGUGAAAUGCUUAGAUAUGUUAUGGAACACCGAUUGCGAAGGCAGCUGGCUAAACAUAUAUUGACGCUGAUGCACAAAAGCGUGGGUAGCGAACA
Molecule: ribosomal RNA, 403 nt
Filed under: uncultured bacterium
Lineage: Bacteria
Description: bacterial SSU rRNA
Rfam family: Bacterial small subunit ribosomal RNA
Source: RNAcentral